RNAcentral lists this ribosomal RNA (205 nucleotides) under uncultured bacterium. RNAcentral describes it as "partial 16S ribosomal RNA". It matches the Rfam family "Bacterial small subunit ribosomal RNA", at positions 32 to 236 of the family's 1533-position model. The record is from RNAcentral.
AAUCAACGCUGGCGGCGUGCCUCAGACAUGCAAGUCGAACGCGAAAGUCCCUCGGGGACAAGUAGAGUGGCGCACGGGUGAGUAACACGUAGGUAAUCUACCUUUGGAUGGGGAAUAACAACCGGAAACGGUUGCUAAUACCGCAUAAUGCAGCGGCACCUAAUGGUGGACAAGUUGUUAAAGCGGGGAUCGAAAGACCUCGCGU